Molecule: transfer RNA, 73 nt
Filed under: Aedes aegypti (yellow fever mosquito)
Lineage: Eukaryota; Metazoa; Arthropoda; Insecta; Diptera; Culicidae
Rfam family: tRNA
About the family: Transfer RNA (tRNA) molecules are approximately 80 nucleotides in length.
Source: Rfam by way of RNAcentral
CCUCUCGUGGUGUAGGGGUAACGCGCCCUGUCUAUUGAUCACGGAGUCGUGAGUUCAAAUCUCACCGAGAGGG